ACCCACAUACUCCUGGGUGGAGAGAAGCAAUGCAGAAAAAGUGCCUUACCCAAGGACACAAGUGAAAUGCAGUGAGGGAUUGAAACCCCGAUCUCGAGGUUGGGAGACCAACCGUUCUCGCCAUGCCAAACCACUUCUAUGUCGUCAAACAUCAAAGUUGUGACAGAAAUUAAUUGAAUGCCCAAAUAUCUCAAGAUACACCUCAACUUCUCACCAUGAAUUAUGGAGAAACUGUCUAAAAACUCAUUGGGGUUGCUAUUGUGUGCGAUGAAUAUGUUCUAUUAUUGCUGUCAGCAGAUGUGUUAGUAAAGUGUUCUUGAGAACAAUACCAGACCAUAAAAAGCUAAGUGAUCCUGAAAAGACUUGUAGACCUUGUUGACGGAGUUCGUUUUGUUCGGUAUUGAUUAACGCAGCCAAGGUUUGCAGACUGUUUCAUGAGGCCUACGGUUUGGUCGCUAGGGACUAGUUUGCAAAUUAUGAAAUGUUUAACCGCAGUAUUAGGCCUACUGUCAUACUGUGCAAGAUUCUUCUGCACCACCACCACAUAGCUUAAUGACACCCUCUUAAUGAUAUCAUGUAGGCCUAAUGCUGCACUUUAAUAAUGAUAUCAUUUUAUAGUGCAUUUUACUGAUAGCAACAGAUGCCAUGUAUGUAGGGUCUAUUUGAAUAACAUCUAUAGCGCAUUUAAUAAUACCAUGUACAAAUUAAGGCCUAUUUAAUGAUACCAAGUAUAGUCGGUGCACUUAAUGGCACAGUGAUUAUUGUACCGUACAAUGCACUUACCAUGCAUGGUAUAUUUUAAUGAUACUAUGUAUGGUGAAUUUUAAUGAUACCAUGUAUGGUGAAUUUUAACAAUACCAUGUACGAUUAAUUUUAACAGUACCACGUAUGGUCAAUUUUAACGAUACCAUAUACGGUGAAUUUGAAUCAUGUAUAUUAUACUAUAAUGAUACUAUGUACAUUUUAAUUAAUGAUACUGGCUAGGUCAUUCUUUAUAUAAUACAUUCUAUUAUUAUUAAUAUUUUUAUUUUCCCAAAAUAUUUAUCAUCUUCACAAUUAGUCUUUUGCGAGUUAUGAAAGUAUGCUCUAGUGAAGACCUGUAUACCAUUUUUAUAAACAUAGGUUCUUGCAAAUCCUUGUAUAGGAUAUCAUUGGAAGGAUUGAUUGUCACAACCCUUUGCAAGACAUAAUAGCAAAAUGUAAAGGGAAUAGAAUAUCUUUAAAGGGUUUAUAAGCCAGAAUCUAAUGAUCAAAAGUAAUUUAAUAAUUACAAUUAUAACAACAAUUUAUUUUCUGAUAAAUCAAGUGUACUACUAACUUUGAAAACAUUAGCCUCAGCAGUUCAUAAAUUGUAAAGGUUUGAGAGUCUUUGUAGUUUGUUCUUCACAAAACAGUAUUUAACAAUAACAAUGAGAGAAACAUUCAAAACUAAAAAGUCCAACAUGGUUGUCCAAUUAGUUAAUCUGCCCUAAGGCCCACAUUAAGUGGCUACAAUAGACUACUGUACUGCUAAAGCAACCUUAUUGUAAUUAAGACAAAUAACUUAAUUAUAAUACAGUUUAAUACUUAAUCCAUAAAGAAUGUAAAUACCUUACCAGGUACAGUAUGGAGAUUAAAUAAUAGUAUUUAUAUUAAAAAAAUAUAUUUUUCACAUUAAUUUCAGGCUUUAAAUGAAACAAAAUUGAAAUAAUAUAUGCAUACAUUUGCAAUACCCACAUUUUGCCUUUCAGAUAUUCUAUUUUUUAUACUAAUUUUGCUAUCGAGUCAUUAGGGAGGUCUUGCAAGCCCACGUUAACAAUAACGAAUACUGUUACGUCAUUAAACUUUUAAUCAAACCAUCCCCGAACAUAGCAUAUCUUCACAAUGUAGGCCAUCGCUGUUUUUAAUAUAAAUCACUGAUCAUAUUUAGCUGGUACAGGUAUAGUAAAGAAUGUUUUAGGAAAGAGAUUGACGAUAAUGAAAAUUAUGUAUUUAUAUUCAUUAUCGUUUUUGUAAGCUUGUGAAAUCUCCCUGUUGUCACUAGCUAUAAACCCAACAAAACUGUAACUAGCAAUGCAUACAAGUACAAAGAUUUAAUUACAGUAUCUAUUUUAAAAACUUAUUUAUCACUCUCAUAUGGGGCUUAUAAUGAAUGAAAAUUGACAAAUUAAUAUGUUUAUUUGUCAAACUAAACUUUUGCCCUUUCAAAUAUUGGAUACUUUCAGGAGGAUGUUUUUUCAACAAUCCAUGUCAAUUAUUUUGUCUUCCUAAGAGUACAAGGAGGUAGGCAUCUUCCAUAAUAUCAUUUAGUGUAAUAAAAAUAAUAUUGUAUCUUUAGCUAAUACAGUAUCCCAUGUAUUUGAUCAUCCGUGUAGUGUUGUUAAGUUUGACUGUAUUUCUGGUUUAACACAAAAAAGAAAAAUGUAGAAAUAUUAGUUUUAUAAUUUUCAUUAUUUUUAUCAUUUUUAUCAUUAAUUUUUUUAGGCUAUUUACUUAUUUUAUUUUAACUUCUGAGUAUUAAAAAAAUAAAAAUACAAAAUAAUAGAAGUUGUUCAUCAGGGGCUAUGGAGGAUAAGCAAAAGAAAUAGAACUGUCAUCAAAAUAUUUGCUUAUCCAAUAACGAUUAAUUGUCAUUAGCUAUCAUUAAACAUGUUUCCAUUUCAAA
This is a long non-coding RNA of Anneissia japonica, 2644 nucleotides long. RefSeq lists it as uncharacterized. NCBI's taxonomy places the organism in Eukaryota, Metazoa, Echinodermata, Crinoidea, Comatulida, Comatulidae. The transcript has 2 exons. The record is from RefSeq and is a predicted model, not a curated record.